RNA transcript from Spinacia oleracea (spinach), 1207 nucleotides. It is a transcript of the gene named vacuolar protein sorting-associated protein 35B-like, with no coding region annotated. The record is from RefSeq and is a predicted model, not a curated record. The transcript has 7 exons. Lineage: Eukaryota; Viridiplantae; Streptophyta; Magnoliopsida; Caryophyllales; Amaranthaceae.
CUCCUCUAACCACUAUACGUAUUUUGCCUUUAAUUUACCCGGAAAAAUCAAGAUUUGCGAAAACACGGCUCGAAGAGAAAAAUCCUAGAUUCCGCCGCGAAGAAGGAGACAUUUCAAAGCAGUGCAGCUCGAUUGCUAGCGAGUCUCCGAUCCAAUUCUGCGAAUUAGUUCGUCGGCGAUUUAGCCUAUUUCUAGGGUUUUUAAGGUUGGGUGAAACGCCAAACCGUUGGAGCUGGAUCUUCGGUUAACGUCGCCGCCGUCAUUGAUUACCUUAUUUCUUAGAUGGUGCCUGAUAUUGUAGAGGGUGAUGGGUUUGUUGGGAGGCAGCCUCAUAUCAAGUAUGAGCUCAGAGAUAGUCCUGGUCUUGUGAAUGUAGGAGGAUACAACCAAUGUGUAUUCUUCAACUGCAGUUAUAGUAGUUCGGAUACUCCACUGAGUGAGGGUCAGUGCCAUUGGUUUUCUCCCAAGGGUUCUACUUUGCUUAAAGCGGGCUCUAAAAAUCGCAAAUGCCGCUCAACAGAUGGCUAAUGCUACUCGGGGUAGUGGUGGUUUAGUUAUGCUGUUCAUUGAAAUCAUCAAUAAGUAUCUCUAUUUUUUUGAGAAGGGAAACAACCAAAUCACCGUCAAUACAAUCCAGGAUCUAAUGGAAUUAAUUACUACAGAGAUGCAAAGUGAUAAUGCGGCAACAGAUUCUGCUGCUGAAGCUUUCUUUGCAAGCACAUUGCGGUACAUCCAAUUCCAGAAACAAAAAGGUGGCGCAGUUAGUGAGAAAUAUGAACCUAAUGAGAACUGAAAAGUUAAAACUUGAGAAAGGGAAACAAACUCGGUAACAAUUGCUCUUCAAUCCGCUAAACUUGUGAGAAUUGUCGCCUUUGAUCUUGCUCUUGGGACUCUUGAAUGGUUCCCUCAUUUGUCUUUGAAUACGCUGACGCUGACGCUGCGUGCUACGUGUGUCAUGGGAAGUUGCUUAUCCAAGCAUGAUCUCAACUCUCAAAUUGAUUUGGUAAUUGAAAUUUUGAAGCGUCCAGGAGAAGUCCUCCCUGUUUGUCUUAGUGUCGCACGAACGCUGUAAAUUCAUAAUUUAGUGUGCUUCAAUUUUAAUUUCUCGGCUUUUUUUUUCUCGGUUCAAAUUUUUAUUUUUAUUUCAUAUUGUAAUUUGUUUGAUUUUGGUCUGACAAUGGAGUUUUUUUCAUCUGCUUGAAUGAUA